GACGAACCGUACGAACGUUAUUCGGAAUCACUGGGCUUAAAGGGUGCGUAGGCGGCGCAGCAAGUUGGGUGUGAAAUCCCUCGGCUCAACCGAGGAACUGCGCCCAAAACUGCUGUGCUCGAGGGAGACAGAGGUGAGCGGAACUUAGGGUGGAGCGGUGAAAUGCGUUGAUAUCCUAAGGAACACCGGUGGCGAAAGCGGCUCACUGGGUCUCUUCUGACGCUGAGGCACGAAAGCUAGGGUAGCGAACGGG
RNAcentral lists this ribosomal RNA (253 nucleotides) under uncultured bacterium. RNAcentral's name for it is "partial 16S ribosomal RNA". It matches the Rfam family "Bacterial small subunit ribosomal RNA", at positions 524 to 776 of the family's 1533-position model. The record is from RNAcentral.